UCUGGCUCAGGAUGAACGCUGGCGGCGUGCCUAAUACAUGCAAGUCGAGCGAACGGACGAGAAGCUUGCUUCUCUGAUGUUAGCGGCGGACGGGUGAGUAACACGUGGAUAACCUACCUAUAAGACUGGGAUAACUUCGGGAAACCGGAGCUAAUACCGGAUAAUAUUUUGAACCGCAUGGUUCAAAAGUGAAAGACGGUCUUGCUGUCACUUAUAGAUGGAUCCGCGCUGCAUUAGCUAGUUGGUAAGGUAACGGCUUACCAAGGCAACGAUGCAUAGCCGACCUGAGAGGGUGAUCGGCCACACUGGAACUGAGACACGGUCCAGACUCCUACGGGAGGCAGCAGUAGGGAAUCUUCCGCAAUGGGCGAAAGCCUGACGGAGCAACGCCGCGUGAGUGAUGAAGGUCUUCGGAUCGUAAAACUCUGUUAUUAGGGAAGAACAUAUGUGUAAGUAACUGUGCACAUCUUGACGGUACCUAAUCAGAAAGCCACGGCUAACUACGUGCCAGCAGCCGCGGUAAUACGUAGGUGGCAAGCGUUAUCCGGAAUUAUUGGGCGUAAAGCGCGCGUAGGCGGUUUUUUAAGUCUGAUGUGAAAGCCCACGGCUCAACCGUGGAGGGUCAUUGGAAACUGGAAAACUUGAGUGCAGAAGAGGAAAGUGGAAUUUCCAUGUGUAGCGGUGAAAUGCGCAGAGAUAUGGAGGAACACCAGUGGCGAAGGCGACUUUCUGGUCUGUAACUGACGCUGAUGUGCGAAAGCGUGGGGAUCAAACAGGAUUAGAUACCCUGGUAGUCCACGCCGUAAACGAUGAGUGCUAAGUGUUAGGGGGUUUCCGCCCCUUAGUGCUGCAGCUAACGCAUUAAGCACUCCGCCUGGGGAGUACGACCGCAAGGUUGAAACUCAAAGGAAUUGACGGGGACCCGCACAAGCGGUGGAGCAUGUGGUUUAAUUCGAAGCAACGCGAAGAACCUUACCAAAUCUUGACAUCCUUUGACAACUCUAGAGAUAGAGCCUUCCCCUUCGGGGGACAAAGUGACAGGUGGUGCAUGGUUGUCGUCAGCUCGUGUCGUGAGAUGUUGGGUUAAGUCCCGCAACGAGCGCAACCCUUAAGCUUAGUUGCCAUCAUUAAGUUGGGCACUCUAAGUUGACUGCCGGUGACAAACCGGAGGAAGGUGGGGAUGACGUCAAAUCAUCAUGCCCCUUAUGAUUUGGGCUACACACGUGCUACAAUGGACAAUACAAAGGGCAGCGAAACCGCGAGGUCAAGCAAAUCCCAUAAAGUUGUUCUCAGUUCGGAUUGUAGUCUGCAACUCGACUACAUGAAGCUGGAAUCGCUAGUAAUCGUAGAUCAGCAUGCUACGGUGAAUACGUUCCCGGGUCUUGUACACACCGCCCGUCACACCACGAGAGUUUGUAACACCCGAAGCCGGUGGAGUAACCUUUUAGGAGCUAGCCUGAUGCAGAUAGGAUGGGACAACAUGAUG
Molecule: ribosomal RNA, 1486 nt
Filed under: Staphylococcus argenteus
Lineage: Bacteria; Bacillati; Bacillota; Bacilli; Caryophanales; Staphylococcaceae
Description: bacterial SSU rRNA
Rfam family: Bacterial small subunit ribosomal RNA
Source: RNAcentral